UUAUUUUAUAUUGGUUUUGAAUGGUUACUGCAGUUUAAGCAGACAAAACCGUCUACAAAUCGGAUCACUUUUUAUUUAUCAUUCACAAAUUAUAGUCCGUAACGGUACACACUCAAAAAACCAAAAAAAAAACCGCUGCAAACUAACUGUGGACCGUUUUCAAACUAAAUCCACAACGAUUUAUAAUUCGCCCUAAAAAUAAUAUGGAUUGCCGACGGAUUAAGUCAGUACUAACUACAUCAUCUAUUUAAAGC
RNAcentral lists this small RNA (254 nucleotides) under Arabidopsis thaliana (thale cress). Its description in RNAcentral is "ATSL177030". The record is from RNAcentral. Lineage: Eukaryota; Viridiplantae; Streptophyta; Magnoliopsida; Brassicales; Brassicaceae.